GAUGAAGAACGUAGCGAAAUGCGAUAAGUAAUGUGAAUUGCAGAAUUCAGUGAAUCAUCGAAUCUUUGAACGCACCUUGCACCCUUUGGCAUUCCGAAGGGUAUGCUCGUUUGAGUGUCAUUGUACUCUCACACUUCCAAUCUUUGGAUUGGGGGCGGUGGACUUGGGUGUUGCUGCUUACUGUGGCUCACCUCAAAUUGAUUCGUGCACCUCUUGGUUGGACAUAGUACGGCGUGAUAAGUGUCUUCGCCGGCACCUCAGUAGAGGGUGGCUGAUCGGGAGCUCUGUGCUUCUUAACUGUCUUUGGACAAUCUCUGACAAAUUGACCUCAAAUCAAGUAGGACUACCCGCUGAACUUAAGCAUAUCAAUAAGCGGAGGA
Molecule: unclassified non-coding RNA, 380 nt
Filed under: soil metagenome
Description: partial contains 5.8S ribosomal RNA, internal transcribed spacer 2, and large subunit ribosomal RNA
Rfam family: 5.8S ribosomal RNA (bases 1-120)
Source: RNAcentral